Molecule: ribosomal RNA, 462 nt
Filed under: uncultured bacterium
Lineage: Bacteria
Description: partial 16S ribosomal RNA
Rfam family: Bacterial small subunit ribosomal RNA
Source: RNAcentral
ACGAACGCUGGCGGCGUGCUUAACACAUGCAAGUCGCACGGAAAGGCCCAGCUUGCUGGUGCUCGAGUGGCGAACGGGUGAGUAACACGUGGGUGAUCUGCCCCUAACUUCGGGAUAAGCUUGGGAAACUGGGUCUAAUACCGGAUAGGACAAUCGUUUAGUGUCGGUUGUGGAAAGUUUUUUCGGUUAGGGAUGAGCCCGCGGCCUAUCAGCUUGUUGGUGGGGUAAUGGCCUACCAAGGCGUCGACGGGUAGCCGGCCUGAGAGGGUGGACGGCCACAUUGGGACUGAGAUACGGCCCAGACUCCUACGGGAGGCAGCAGUGGGGAAUAUUGCACAAUGGGCGCAAGCCUGAUGCAGCGACGCCGCGUGGGGGAUGACGGCCUUCGGGUUGUAAACCUCUUUCGACAGGGACGAAGCUUUGGUGACGGUACCUGUAUAAGAAGCACCGGCUAACUACGUG